Mytilus californianus (California mussel) is the source of this 1518-nucleotide long non-coding RNA. RefSeq lists it as uncharacterized. Lineage: Eukaryota; Metazoa; Mollusca; Bivalvia; Mytilida; Mytilidae. The record is from RefSeq and is a predicted model, not a curated record. The transcript is spliced from 2 exons.
ACAGUUUUUGUCGAGCCUGCGACUUUUGUCGCAGAAAGCUCGACAUAGGGAUAGUGAUCCGGCGGCGGCGGCGUUAGCUAACUUCUUAAAAGCUUUAUAUUUUAGAAGGUGGAAGGUCUGGAUGCUUCAUACUUUGUAUAUGGAUGCCUCAUGUUACGAAGUUUCUGUCAGUCACAUGUCCAAUGUCCUUGACCUCAUUUUCAUGGUUCAGUGACUACUUGAAAAAAAAGUUCAGAUUUUUUGUAAUGUUAGAUUCUCUCUUAUUAUAAGUAAUAGGAUAACUCUAUUUGGUAUGUGCGUACCUUGCAAGGUCCUCAUGCCCGUCAGACAGUUUUCACUUGACCUCGACCUCAUUUCAUGGAUCAGUGAACAAGGUUAAGUUUUGGUGGUCAAGUCCAUAUCUCAGAUACUAUAAGCAAUAGGUCUAGUAUAUUCGGUGUAUGGAAGGACUGUAAGGUGUACAUGUCCAACUGGCAGGUGUCAUCUGACCUUGACCUCAUUUUCAUGGUUCAGUGGUUAUAGUUAAGUUUUUGUGUUUUGGUCUGUUUUUCCUAUACUGUAUGCCAUAGGUCUACUAUAUUUGGUGUAUGGAAUGAUUGUAAGGUGUACAUGUCUAGCGGGCAGGUGUCAUCUGACCUUGACCUCAUUUUCAUGGUUCAGUGGUUAUAGUUAAGUUUUUGUGUUUUGGUCUGUUUUUCCUAUACUGUAUGCCAUAGGUCUACUAUAUUUGGUGUAUGGAAUGAUUGUAAGGUGUACAUGUCUAGCGGGCAGGUGUCAUCUAACCUUGACCUCAUUUUCAUGGUUCAGUGGUCAAAGUUAAGUUUUUGAGUUUUGGUCUUUUUUUCUAAUACUAUAUGCAAUAGUUCAACUAUAUUUGGUAUGUGCGUACCUUGCAAGGUCCUCAUGCCCGUCAGACAGUUUUCACUUGACCUCAACCUCAUUUCAUGGAUCAGUGAACAAGGUUAAGUUUUGGUGGUCAAGUCCAUAUCUCAGAUACUAUAAGCAAUAGGUCUAGUAUAUUCGGUGUAUGGAAGGACUGUAAGGUGUACAUGUCCAACUGGCAGGUGUCAUCUGACCUUGACCUCAUUUUCAUGGUUCAGUGGUUAUAGUUAAGUUUUUGUGUUUUGGUCUGUUUUUCUUAUACUGUAUGCAAUAGGCCUACUAUAGUUGGUGUAUGGAAUGAUUGUAAGGUGUACAUGUCUAGCGGGCAGGUGUCAUCUGACCUUGACCUCAUUUUCAUGGUUCAGUGGUCAAAGUUAAUUUUUUGAGUUUUGGUCUUUUUUUCUAAUACUAUAUGCAAAAGUUCAACUAUAUUUGGUGUAUGGAAAUAUUUUAUGAUCUAUUUGUCAGUCACACAGUUUUUUUUUUUACCUUGACCUCAUUUUCAAGGUUCAUUGCUCAGUGUUAAGUUUUUGUGUUUUGGUCUGUUUUUCUUAAACUAAAAGCAAUAGAUCAACUAUAUUUGUUGUAUGGAAGAAUUGUUAGCUGUACAUGCCUGCCUAGCAUGGUUCAUCUGAC